This 437-nucleotide ribosomal RNA is filed under the name Pseudoalteromonas sp. R-279. RNAcentral's name for it is "bacterial SSU rRNA". It matches the Rfam family "Bacterial small subunit ribosomal RNA", at positions 239 to 671 of the family's 1533-position model. Lineage: Bacteria; Pseudomonadati; Pseudomonadota; Gammaproteobacteria; Alteromonadales; Pseudoalteromonadaceae. The record is from RNAcentral.
GAUUAGCUAUUGUGAGGUAAUGGCUCACCAAGGCGACGAUCCCUAGCUGGUUUGAGAGGAUGAUCAGCCACACUGGGACUGAGACACGGCCCAGACUCCUACGGGAGCAGCAGUGGGGAAUAUUGCACAAUGGGCGCAAGCCUGAUGCAGCCAUGCCGCGUGUGUGAAGAAGGCCUUCGGGUUGUAAAGCACUUUCAGUAAGGAGGAAAGGUUAAGUGUUAAUAGCACUUAGCUGUGACGUUACUUACAGAAGAAGCACCGGCUAACUCCGUGCCAGCAGCCGCGGUAAUACGGAGGGUGCGAGCGUUAAUCGGAAUUACUGGGCGUAAAGCGUACGCAGGCGGUUUGUUAAGCGAGAUGUGAAAGCCCCGGGCUCAACCUGGGAACUGCAUUUCGAACUGGCAAACUAGAGUGUGAUAGAGGGUGGUAGAAUUUCA